Pogoniulus pusillus (Red-fronted tinkerbird) is the source of this 1417-nucleotide long non-coding RNA. RefSeq lists it as uncharacterized. The transcript is spliced from 4 exons. Lineage: Eukaryota; Metazoa; Chordata; Aves; Piciformes; Lybiidae. The record is from RefSeq and is a predicted model, not a curated record.
UCCUGAGAGACACCACAUUUUCCAGGCAGUUCUGGAUGAAGGCGCCAGCUGAAAUGUACGGCUAUAUUUAUUUGCACAUCCCUGCUAAGAGACCUUUCCGAUUUCAUUUGCAUUCGGCAGAGACCAGCUGUGUGCUGUCAGCUUCACGGCUGUUGCGGUAUCCCGACGCUUUUCUUGUCUCAAACAGGGAGCGCAGGGGCCUGAGGCGGCGGUUUAGGAACCGUUGCCUCUGUGGAGGCGGGAACGGGCGCUGUGCUGGCUUUAAACGCACGCAACAGCGCCGCCCAAAGGCCGAGGUGCGCGCCGCACUCUGCACGGCUCCCCAGCCACCGCCCCUACGCCGCGGAGGGUGACGGGGGAGCGGCAGCCGCUGGGCGUCCGCCUCUUCGCGGCGGAGUUGGCUCAGCGCGACACCGGCUGCGCUGCGCUCCUGCUGCGCUGCUCCCUCCGCAAAGCUCCACACCGUCCGUUCCCCAGCUCCCGCUCCGCGCUGCACUGCCCGCACGGCCUGGAAUACGCCUUCCUCCUUGAGCGAUCUGGUCUGAUGGAAGGUGUCCCUGCCUAUGAUGGAGGUGGGGUUGCAUCCAGGUGCUGGAACGGCUCCGGUUCUUUUGAAACAGCACUAAAAUAGAGAACCCAGAGCUUUUUCUUCAGUUGAUAAUCCUUCCAUUAAACGAAGUCCUUAGCCACUCAGCUUUUAGGAUUGUAAGGAAAAACUUAAUUGUAUGUUAAAUCCCUAUCAGAGAGUUGAGUCUCUCUUAGGUGCUUCCUCUCAAUGUAAAGGAAGGAAAGACUUGGUUGCUGUAUCUUUAAACCAUCAAUCAGUAUGGUUCCUUCACGAAUACCUGUGAAUUAGACUUCUUCUUUUCACAUUGAGGUGACUGAAACAUGUUGGAGCCUGUUUGAGUUUCCCAGAACACAGCUGAGGUCUUGCCUUCUGUAAUAAAAUCAACCAACCCCAGAAUAUUUGAGAAAUACAGCCUGUAAAAAGAAAGAGACUGAGAGAAAGCAGAGACAGAAGCAGAGCUGUUGUCCUACAUGCACUGAAUCACAGAAUCAACCAGGUUGGAAGAGACCUCCAAGAUUAUCCAGUCCAAUCUAUCACCCAGCCCUGUCCAAUCAACUAGACCAUGGCACUAAGUGAACGUGAUACUUAAAAAAGAAGUGGAGUAUCCUGGGCCUGAGAGGAGCCAUGCUAUUAGUCCCAGUAAUGGGCAUUGACUUCUAGUUGAAUAGAAUUAAAAGCUUUUAGCAAUAAUUCUUCCCUUGGUGGUUGUGCACUCCAUAUUUAAUUGUAAGCAGAAGAGCUGUUUGACUGCCUUUAAAAAAAUAUUAUUUUCCAAGUAGUUUGAUAGUUUCCCCUCCUUUAAACUCAAAAUGAUCAAGACAGAUCAUGUAAUUGUAGCUGCAUUCCAAA